UAUAAAUCUGCCCACUAGCGAUCCGUCGGCGGUUUUUUUGCCCUGAUGGGGAGCUUCCCGGAAACGAAAGUCUUCCGGUUCCGGGGGAAGUAUGGUUGCAAAGCUGAAACUUAAAGAAAUUGACGGAAGGGCACCACCAGGAGUGGAGCCUGCGGCUUAAUUUGACUCAACACGGGAAAACUCACCCGGUCCGGACACUGUAAGGAUUGACAGAUUGAAAGCUCUUUCUUGAUUCGGUGGAUGGUGGUGCAUGGCCGUUCUUAUG
Molecule: ribosomal RNA, 265 nt
Filed under: Steinernema intermedium
Lineage: Eukaryota; Metazoa; Nematoda; Chromadorea; Rhabditida; Steinernematidae
Description: partial 18S ribosomal RNA
Rfam family: Eukaryotic small subunit ribosomal RNA
Source: RNAcentral